UGCAAGUCGGACGGUAGCACAGAGGAGCUUGCUCCUCGGGUGACGAGUGGCGGACGGGUGAGUAAUGUCUGGGGAUCUGCCCGAUAGAGGGGGAUAACCACUGGAAACGGUGGCUAAUACCGCAUAACGUCGCAAGACCAAAGAGGGGGACCUUCGGGCCUCUCACUAUCGGAUGAACCCAGAUGGGAUUAGCUAGUAGGCGGGGUAAUGGCCCACCUAGGCGACGAUCCCUAGCUGGUCUGAGAGGAUGACCAGCCACACUGGAACUGAGACACGGUCCAGACUCCUACGGGAGGCAGCAGUGGGGAAUAUUGCACAAUGGGCGCAAGCCUGAUGCAGCCAUGCCGCGUGUAUGAAGAAGGCCUUCGGGUUGUAAAGUACUUUCAGCGGGGAGGAAGGCGAUAAGGUUAAUAACCUUGUCGAUUGACG
This 429-nucleotide ribosomal RNA is filed under the name uncultured Pantoea sp. RNAcentral describes it as "bacterial SSU rRNA". It matches the Rfam family "Bacterial small subunit ribosomal RNA", at positions 56 to 474 of the family's 1533-position model. The record is from RNAcentral. Lineage: Bacteria; Pseudomonadati; Pseudomonadota; Gammaproteobacteria; Enterobacterales; Erwiniaceae.